This 253-nucleotide ribosomal RNA is filed under the name uncultured bacterium. RNAcentral describes it as "partial 16S ribosomal RNA". It matches the Rfam family "Bacterial small subunit ribosomal RNA", at positions 524 to 776 of the family's 1533-position model. The record is from RNAcentral.
UACGUAGGGGGCAAGCGUUGUCCGGAUUUAUUGGGCGCAAAGAGCGUGUAGGCGGUUUGGUAGGUCCGCUGUGAAAACUCGAGGCUCAACCUCGAGACGCCGGUGGAAACCAUCAGACUAGAGUCCGGAAGAGGAGAGUGGAAUUCCUGGUGUAGCGGUGAAAUGCGUAGAUAUCAGGAGGAACACCGAUGGCGAAGGCAGGUCUCUGGGCUGACACUGACGCUCAUGCACGAAAGCGUGGGGAGCAAACAGG